UGGUGGGUAGUUUGACUGGGGCGGUCUCCUCCCAAAGAGUAACGGAGGAGCACGAAGGUUAGCUAAUCCUGGUCGGACAUCAGGAGGUUAGUGCAAUGGCAUAAGCUAGCUUGACUGCGAGCGUGACGGCGCGAGCAGGUGCGAAAGCAGGUCAUAGUGAUCCGGUGGUUCUGAAUGGAAGGGCCAUCGCUCAACGGAUAAAAGGUACUCCGGGGAUAACAGGCUGAUACCGCCCAAGAGUUCAUAUCGACGGCGGUGUUUGGCACCUCGAUGUCGGCUCAUCACAUCCUGGGGCUGAAGUAGGUCCCAAGGGUAUGGCUGUUCGCCAUUUAAAGUGGUACGCGAGCUGGGUUUAGAACGUCGUGAGACAGUUCGGUCCCUAUCUGCCGUGGGCGCUGGAGAAUUGAGGGGGGCUGCUCCUAGUACGAGAGGACCGGAGUGGACGCAUCACUGGUGUUCGGGUUGUCAUGCCAAUGGCAUUGCCCGGUAGCUAAAUGCGGAAAAGAUAAGUGCUGAAAGCAUCUAAGCACGAAACUUGCCCCGAGAUGAGUUCUCCCUGACUCCU
This 565-nucleotide ribosomal RNA is filed under the name Klebsiella planticola. RNAcentral's name for it is "Raoultella planticola partial 23S ribosomal RNA". It matches the Rfam family "Bacterial large subunit ribosomal RNA", at positions 2259 to 2823 of the family's 2925-position model. Lineage: Bacteria; Pseudomonadati; Pseudomonadota; Gammaproteobacteria; Enterobacterales; Enterobacteriaceae. The record is from RNAcentral.